This 1296-nucleotide ribosomal RNA is filed under the name metagenome. RNAcentral's name for it is "SSU rRNA". It matches the Rfam family "Eukaryotic small subunit ribosomal RNA", at positions 493 to 1783 of the family's 1831-position model. The record is from RNAcentral.
UUUUUGGGCUUGGUAAUUGGAAUGAGGGAGAGUUAAACGGACCAUCGAGUAUCCAUUGGAGGGCAAGUCUGGUGCCAGCAGCUGCGGUAAUACCAGCUCCAAUAGCGUAUAUUAAAGUUGUUGCAGUUAAAAAGCUCGUAGUUGGACUUGUGUGCGCUGUCCGCGGGUGGCCUGCGCCUAAAAGGGCGUUUCGGUUCGGCCCCGGUGGCGCCUUGAAAUCUGCAGCUGGGGGGACGUUGGCCUUAACUGGUCGGCGACCGCACGCCGGCUGCUCGGUUACUGCGAGAAAAUUAGAGUGUUCAAGGCAGGCAUUGGGUGCAAUUGAAUACAUUAGCAUGGAAUAAUAAAAUAUGGCUCCUGCCGUAUUUUGUUGGUUUUGACUGGUGGGAGUAAUGAUUGAUAGGGACGGUUGGGGGUGCUAGUAUUGAGCGGCCAGAGGUGAAAUUCAUGGAUUCGCUCAUGACUAACUUAUGCGAAAGCAUUCACCAAGGACGUCCUCUUUAAUCAAGAACGAAAGUUGGGGGAUCGAAGACGAUCAGAUACCGUCGUAGUCUCAACCAUAAACUAUGUCGACUUGGGAUCGGCGGUAGUUUUUUCAUUAAGACUCUGUCGGGACCACGGGAGAAAUCAAAGUGUCUGGACUCUGGGGGAAGUAUGGUCGCAAGGCUGAAACUCAAGGAAUUGACGGAAGGGCACCACCAGGAGUGGAGCCUGCGGCUUAAUUUGACCCAACACGGGGAAACUUACCAGGUCCAGAGAUGUAGAGGAUUGACAGAUUGAAGCUCUUUCUUGAUCACUUCGGUGGUGGUGCAUGGCCGUUCUUAGUUGGUGGAGUGAUUUGUCUGGUUAAUUCCGUUAACGAACGAGACCUCAGCCUGCUAGUGUAGUCGGCUGGAUUGCCUUUGGCGAUCCGUGAUUUCGACUUCUUAGAGGGACAAUCGACGCGCAGUCGAUGGAAGUUUGAGGCAAUAACAGGUCUGUGAUGCCCUUAGAUGUUCUGGGCCGCACGCGCGCUACACUGCUGGGCUCAGCGAGUUUUACUUGGCCGAGAGGCCCGGUUAAUCUUGUGAAAUCCCAGCGUGCUUGGGCUCGCCUCCUGCAACUGGAGGCGCCAACGAGGAAUUCCUAGUAGACGCAGGUCAUCAACCUGCAUCGAUUACGUCCCUGCCCUUUGUACACACCGCCCGUCGUUCCAUAAGAGUGAGGCAUCCGGUGAAUUCUCGGGAGAGCCUGGGCGUGGCCAGCAAUGGUCUGCUCGGGUUUGAACUUGCAUAAACUUGGUGCCUAUGAUUAGGG